AGGUUUUAGACUGUUUUAACUCAAGUCUGUAAUACGUUUGAUGUGUGACCAUUUUUAUUAAACUUUUGACUUUGGUAAUUUGGCACAUUUUAUGUUUAUACAAAAGUCAGUAGGAGAACUGCAAAACCACUAACAGACAGGGUUGGUUCAUCUGUCAGCAACCUGUCAAAACUGAUGUAGUACAGCCAUGAUAUUAAGAGGACCAACUCUAAGCCAACUCACAAAUAUGUUAUGGCUGCAACACAGUGGGGUAGGACUUUCUUAGAGGUCAGCAGAUCCAAUGGUCAAGGCCUAGAGGCUCCAGCAUCAAUUUGUGCUUUGUAUGUACAGUGUCAUGAGAUAUAAACAGGAGAAGCACAGAAGAAGACAAACUAUAAAACUCCUAAUGUAGACUUUGUAUUUAGCGGAGUAUCAUUGUAAGAAAAAAGCAACUUGGUUGUCUUUCCCUUGAAUGCAGGUUGAAACAGAGAUGUAUAAAUAAAAUGUUAGCUAAUAGCAAUGCUGUCAUCACAAGCUGGCUAUUAUGACAUGGAUCUAGUCUUACCAUGACACAGUCAUGACCCAGACAGCCCAGACUCUGGCACAGAUAUGCAGGAAGAGAAGGAGGUCGGAACACAACCCUAACUUCUCUUUCACCUUUCCCCUUUUUUUUUGCCCAGACAUUUUGGACCAUGCUGGUCCCUCACCCUCCCUGUCUUCUCUUAUACCUUCGCUCUGGGCGCAUCUAAUUGAAAGCGAUCUUGAGGCUGAGAGAGUUCCGUUUCUUCUCUAAUCCCUCCACUGGGGGAGGCUCACAUGGUCUCAAUUACCCCCACCCCACCCCACCCCAGAACACUAGGUCCCCUCUCUUCUCUCUCCCACUAUCCAUCCCACCGUCUCACCGGUUGCUCCUCUGCCAAUGCACCGGUCCGGGCCCUUUUUCAGCAGUUUAUGUUAUUAAGCACACACUGCCUAGUUCCUGUCCUUCACAGGGGCCUGGAGAUGUUAUCUCUCCUGCCGCCGUAUACAGUUACCUCCAAAAUAUUCCAUAAAUUAGAUUGAGAUUGGCAAUUCAGAAUAUAGAGGUGGAGACUGUGGUGGUCAGGGAUUGGCUGGGGAUGGGGGGGAUAAAGGAAGCGCAGUGUAAGUAAUAGCAUGGGAGGAUCUUGCAGUGUUUUCACUGGAUAGAGAAACACAGGGAGGUAUGUCAUCGGCAGACUAAAGGUGAAAAGAGGAGAAGAGGAGGGUGCUUAGCGGCUUUGGGAUAAGAGGGAGAGGAGGUUAAAAUCUGGUUCCUUCUUGGAUAGAGAUCCUUACAGGGGUGGAGUUGAAUAUCAAGUCCAAAAUUAGUAAGACUGGGCAUUUACUGGGCUUGAGGGGCUGUGUGCAUUGAUACACAUGCAUCUCUCUUCUGUUAUUAAACAAGGCUGUACUGGAAAAGUGACUUUUAAAGUCGUGAACAGCCCUGUCAAUCCUAAAAGCAAAGAGAAAGGCCCUGAGCAGCCAAGGACAUCCAUGACCAAUUAGAUUAGAAGAAUCCUGUGAGGUCCUUAAACAAUGGUCUCUUAGAGUACCUGCAAUAAUACAAACAUGGCCCCUGACACACAACUCAAUAACUUCAAAAGAAACCAUUACUGAUCCUGGCUGAAGCAGCUCAAGACUUGAACUAGCAAUCCCAAAUUCAAUAAACUGACUGCAAAGUUGGAGCCUCUCUGACAGACAGGUGAUGAGUUCACAAUUUUACCCAGUCUAUUAGACAAUAACAUGCAACUUUCAUGUUCUUUUCAGCUAUUGUUGGUCACGGCUUUGUAUUUGUAUUAAAAAUUCUGAUAUAGCAACCUUUUUACUUGUUUUUAUCCUUUUAUCAUUUUUAGGACCCCCCUGUUUUCUCUGAGGGAGCCCUCGGCACCGGGAGUAGUGGUCGCUUGUGAUUGCAGGGGCCGGCCACGGGGUUCCUGGUGGAGGUUGCUGUCUGACACAUCCCUCCACUGGCCGUGUGUCGGCGUCCUGUGGCUGCGAGUGGCUCUCUGCUCCUGGUGCUGACGGCUCCUCUGAUGGCGCCUUCUCAACUGGUUCAUCUGUACUCAGCCUCAUUAUCCAUUAUCUUAGUGUGUGUAUGUGCGGGUGUGUCGGCGUGUGUGUGUGUGUGUGUGCGUGCGUGUGUGUGUGUGUGGGUGGCGGUUGGCGGUGGGGGUAAAGGGGCAUCUGGGAUAGUUUUUUAUUUUUGUUUUUAACUUGACUGCACAGCACUUUGAGUCACACUCCUGUAGGAAAAGUGUUAUAUAAAUAAAGUUUGAUUGAUUGAUUGAACCUAAAAAAACUUUAAUGAUACUACAUAGAAAAUAUAAUGAUUCAAAUAUGAAGCUGGGUUUUACAGUCAAGCAGACUGCUAUUCUUACUUUAUAAACAGUAUUGUUGCUAAAACAGAACUAAAUGAGGGGAAACUAAGAGUAAAGAGUCAUUUUUGGGGUAAAAGUGGGCAAGCAUUCAGCCAAGCUUGGCAGGUAUGAGCAGGCGUUAAAGGGGAGAGGGAAAUGGGGGCACUGGGUUUAGGUCAAAGGUUCAGCCUAAACCUUGGGGGCUGAUUGUUUCUAUAUUCUGUUACUUCCCUGACUCUGUGCUAGCUAAUGUGGCACUCUAUCCCUUGCAUUAGGACCGACCUCUUUAGGAGGCAGCAGCACUUCACAGUAUUUCCAGAUGGGCACAUAAUGAUCUGAGGGGGCUGUGGAAUAAAUUAAAAAUGACCACAUAUCAACGCUAAACCACCACGGUGCAUAACUAGAAUCAAAUAAAGGAAGUCUUGUUCUAUUGGACGAGAAGGAAAACUGAAAAUAAUGAAAGAUGGCAAAGGUAGAUCUGCAGAAUCAGAGGUUAUGAGUAAAAUAAUGAUAAUUUUUUAAAAAGUCCACAGCCGUUAUUAACAAAGAAGUACAGCAUGUAAAAUGAUUGGAUUAUCUAGUUUGGCACCAGCGUAGACAUUGGUCGUAAUCUGGAGUAUAUGACAUUAAAACAUUGUUCAACAACUCUUUGUCUGAUUCUCACUGUCUACUAUCUAGACAUCUUUACAUCAUUUCUAUCAGGGGCAGUCCAUUUUUUAUUUUUUUUUAUUUUUUUAUUUUUAUUCAUAUAAAAUGCAUGAUGUUAAAUGUUUAAGAGUGCCUGAACCCCUGAGCCCCUGAUGAUAGGGCACCAACUCCUAAUGUAGAGCUGCAGAGGCAGCCUUUACUUGUCUGUCCUCCACUCCGGAGCAUGUGGUUUUGGUUACAGAAGGUUUUACUGCUCAACAAUGUUUCUGCCUUGGAGCCCAGCACAUUG
Molecule: long non-coding RNA, 3294 nt
Filed under: Xyrichtys novacula (pearly razorfish)
Lineage: Eukaryota; Metazoa; Chordata; Actinopteri; Labriformes; Labridae
Source: RNAcentral